RNAcentral lists this ribosomal RNA (429 nucleotides) under actinobacterium SCGC AAA487-O19. Its description in RNAcentral is "bacterial SSU rRNA". It matches the Rfam family "Bacterial small subunit ribosomal RNA", at positions 331 to 772 of the family's 1533-position model. The record is from RNAcentral. Lineage: Bacteria; Bacillati; Actinomycetota; Actinomycetes.
CGCCAGUCCUAUGGGAGGCAGCAGUGGGGAAUAUUGGGCAAUGGAGGGAACUCUGACCCAGCGACGCCGCGUGCGGGAUGAAGGCCUUCGGGUUGUAAACCGCUUUCAGCAAGGAAGAAGCGAAAGUGACGGUACUUGCAGAAGAAGCACCGGCUAACUAUGUGCCAGCAGCCGCGGUAAUACAUAGGGUGCAAGCGUUGUCCGGAAUUAUUGGGCGUAAAGAGCUCGUAGGUGGUUCGUCACGUCGGAUGUGAAAAUCUGGGGCUUAACCCCAGACCUGCAUUCGAUACGGGCGAGCUAGAGUGUGGUAGGGGAGACUGGAAUUCCUGGUGUAGCGGUGGAAUGCGCAGAUAUCAGGAGGAACACCAAUGGCGAAGGCAGGUCUCUGGGCCAUUACUGACACUGAGGAGCGAAAGCGUGGGGAGCGAA